RNAcentral lists this long non-coding RNA (353 nucleotides) under Fukomys damarensis (Damara mole-rat). Its description in RNAcentral is "lncRNA (ENSFDAG00000029345.1)". The record is from RNAcentral. Lineage: Eukaryota; Metazoa; Chordata; Mammalia; Rodentia; Bathyergidae.
GUCACCCGGAGGCCCAGGUGCGGAGACCUGGCCGACUCCACCGCGAGGGCCACCUCGCACUUCCACGCGCCACUCGGAAGGCCCAAAGAGCCUAAGCCGCGGAGGCAGCGCGCCCAGCCCGCCACCCGACCAGUCCGUUCCCCGCAGUCACAGUCAGCAGUCCGUGAGACCCGCAACCCUGCAGCCCUCAGCCGCUUGCUACACGUCCGCGUCCCUGUGGCCAAAUAUCGCGAGAUUUCCCUCCGCGGCAGCGCGCUCCGACGGCGGGCCGGCUCUUCGCUAUAGAGCACGGCUCAAGCAAAGAGUGUUCCUUCCACUCAGGCAUUAAUAAGACCUUUCAAAGGUGAACCCGC